Molecule: long non-coding RNA, 219 nt
Organism: Bufo bufo (common toad)
Lineage: Eukaryota; Metazoa; Chordata; Amphibia; Anura; Bufonidae
Exons: 3
Source: RefSeq, a predicted model, not a curated record
AGAUGUGAAAGUGCCCUAAAUCAGACAAAAGGCUACCUGUGCUACCCUCCCCCAUUUCUGAAUCUGUGAUUGGUAACAAAAUAACAGGAUUUAGAGUAGUACAUUUUUUGAAAGAAAUGAGGAGUGCACAUUGGAGUCUGAGUUGUCUAGCCAUAGAAAUAUGAUUUGGUUGCACUUGUGUGAGUAUGUCCUAUGUGUUUGCACAAUUGUAUGUUUCCA